UACGUAGGGCGCAAGCGUUGUCCGGAAUUAUUGGGCGUAAAGAGCUCGUAGGCGGUCUGUCGCGUCUGUUGUGAAAACUCGAGGCUCAACCUCGGGCUUGCAGUGGAUACGGGCAGACUAGAGUGCGGUAGGGGAGACUGGAAUUCCUGGUGUAGCGGUGGGAUGCGCAGAUAUCAGGAGGAACACCGAUGGCGAAGGCAGGUCUCUGGGCCGCAACUGACGCUGAGGAGCGAAAGCAUGGGGAGCGAACAGG
Molecule: ribosomal RNA, 253 nt
Filed under: uncultured bacterium
Lineage: Bacteria
Description: partial 16S ribosomal RNA
Rfam family: Bacterial small subunit ribosomal RNA
Source: RNAcentral